UAGGAUUCCCUUAGUAGCUGCGAGCGAACAGGGAUAAGCCCAGCACCGAAUCCCGCGGCUGUAAUGGACGCCGGGAAAUGUGGUGUUUAGGAGGAUCCAUUAUCCUAAAAUUGUUUAUUGAGUCCAAGUCCUUCUUGAACGGGGCCACAGCCCAUAGAGGGUGCCAGGCCCGUAGUGACCAAUAGCAAUGAUAGGAGGAUCUCUCCUUAGAGUCGGGUUGCUUGAGAGUGCAGCCCUAAGUGGGUGGUAAACUCCAUCUAAGGCUAAAUAUAACCACGAGACCGAUAGCGAACAAGUACCGUGAGGGAAAGUUGAAAAGCACUUUGAAGAGAGAGUUCAAUAGUACGUGAAACCGUUCAGGGGUAAACCUGAGAAACCCGAAAGGUCGAAAGGGGAAAUUCAUUCGUAUUUCGAUUUUGGCUUUGUUUGUUAAUUGACAAUGUGUUGUUCACUUCGGUGCAACGACGCUGUUGCAUUUUUCAUUCAAUGAACCGAUUAUCGAAUACGUGCACUUUUCCCCAAGUAGGACGCCGCGAUUCGUUGGGUGUCGGUUUAAGGCCUAUGGUGGCAGACCAUCACGGAUGAAGUACUUUACCGUUCUUCAUUUACCGUAAUGGACCCAUAGUGUCCCGACCGACUGGCUCGACGGUAUCAUUAUAUAGACGCAGAGCCGCAAAAUUACAAUUUGCGUUCGACCCAUAACAAGCGUGCUAGUGUUAUAUUGGGAUACGGACCUAGUGCCGUACCCGAUCUCUAGUAUCUGUUAGUUGUGGUGUUUUCUCGAACAGACUCUGUAAUAUGAAACGUCAAUCUGCGGCGCUAUAGCUUUGGGUACUUUCAGGACNNNNNNNNNNNNNNNNNNNNNNNNNNNNAGCAUGUGCGCAAGUCAUUGGGAUUAUUAAAAACCUAAAGGCGUAAUGAAAGUAAAAAUUUGUCUUUGCUACAAAUUGAGGGAAGAUGAGUGGUCGUCGAAACAUGGCCACUCCGCAUUCCCGGGGCGUCUCAUUCUUAUUGCAAGAAGAGGCGCACCAAGAGCGUACACGCUGGGACCCGAAAGAUGGUGAACUAUGCCUGGUCAGGACGAAGUCAGGGGAAACCCUGAUGGAGGUCCGUAGCGAUUCUGACGUGCAAAUCGAUCGUCGGAACUGGGUAUAGGGGCGAAAGACUAAUCGAACCAUCUAGUAGCUGGUUCCCUCCGAAGUUUCCCUCAGGAUAGCUGGCGCUCGUGUACGAGUCUCAUCCGGUAAAGCGAAUGAUUAGAGGCAUUGGGGUCGAAACGACCUCAACCUAUUCUCAAACUUUAAAUGGGUGAGAUCUCCGGCUUGCUUAACCAGUGAAGCCGUGAGAUUCG
Molecule: ribosomal RNA, 1351 nt
Filed under: Phalacrinus sp. DDM0594
Lineage: Eukaryota; Metazoa; Arthropoda; Insecta; Coleoptera; Phalacridae
Description: partial 28S ribosomal RNA
Rfam family: Eukaryotic large subunit ribosomal RNA
Source: RNAcentral